ACAGCCAAGCUGGUCCACCCGGCCUUGGAGCCUUGGGCAGGUGGCACAGAGGCCGACUGCAGGCUGGAGAGCCAGCUCCAGGGAGGCAGAGCUAAGACACAGGUGUCUGACACCAGGCACCUCGGCUCCGGGAACCUGCGCUGCCCUGAUUAGCUAAGUACAAAGGCAGUUCGAAUUACUGCCUCUCCCUAGCCAAUCGCCCGCUGGCCUGGCUGACAGGAGCAGGUCCCCUGAUGUCAGGGACGUCCGCUCACUGGCCAGAACCAGAGAGCCGGUUUCUACCUUGCCCGCGGGCAACCCUACUCCAGGCACCUUAGAGCAGUUUGAGUUAGGAACUCUCUCUGCCCGCCCACGGCGCCGCCCCAGGGUCCUCAAACACUCAAACGCGCUGUGCAAUAAAGGCAAGGCCAAGCUCUUUCUAACCUCCUUUGCCUGGUUCUGGACGCCCAGAUCCUGUGCAGCUGAUGGAACUCCAGUUUUAAUUAGCUACGGCUUUUUUGCAAGCGAGACUUUCUUACAGAAACUGGGAGACAAGGAGACACAAAUACAAAGAAAGAUCUUUUUACAGUCACCGCUCUGAACAAUGAAAUCCAAUAUUGGAGAGAAAAAAAUCACCUCAGAUGUGAAAAUAGAUAAAACUCCAGCGAAGUGGGUACUGCAUCCCACUGUGGGCAGGGCUGUCCCGGGCAUCCUAAAACCCAGCCAGCUGAAGCCAUUGUACGCCCCUGAAACGGCGAUCCUUUGCAGCUGUAUGGCUAGGCAGCGCUUGAUUCAAGUUUGGUAUUUGCCCCAGACUGUAGGGGCCAGCUUAACAGUAACCAUAGACACAAAGAAAGAACAGCGCACACAGAAAGCGCCUGAGUUGGUGGGGAUGUAAAUGGAUUUUCGUUUGCCUGGGAUGCUAUGGCAAAUGUGUGUGUGCACACAUGUACGUGCACAUGCACAAGCUUUAGGAAGAGUCUUAGGAAGAAUCUUAGGGGGAGUCUAAUGGGCUAAAGUAAUGGACUGAGCCACUGGGAGUCCUACCUUGAAAAGCAUUAAUGAAGUUCUCAAGAGAGUAUGUAUAUAUAUAUAUAUAUAUAUAUAUAUAUAUAUAUACAUUAUAUUAUAUAUUAUUAUACAUUCAUAUUAAUAUAUCUCCAUUAAUGUUAUAUUAUUAAAAGAUAAUAUUAUACUAAUUUCCAUACAUUUAUAUUAAUAUAAAUUAAUUUUUAUGCCAGGCAUGUUGACACACACCUUUAAUCUCACACUCAGGAUGCCAAGUGGACUGGACUGUAUUUAGUUAUAGCAAUGGAAAGUUACCAAGUACAAACACCCUUCACAAUCACCAUAAAGAACUUUGAUACAGACAAGCUUCUCACACUGGAAUGUAUAGGAAUCUUCUUCAUUUAGCAGAGUAACCGGACACACAGGACUGCUUGCUUCCCUGUCUGCCGCCCACAGCUCAGGUAAGACCUGCUCUCACUAGGUGAGUCUUUGACAGAAUAUGAUGUUUUUAUUUUUCCUUUUCUCUAAAAGCCAGUAGCCCCUGGACUGUGGCAUACCCUAUUUUCUGAGCACCUUUUCAAAAACAAAGCCACAGGCUGGAGGGUUUCAUGUUACCCAGCCGAAGAACUGCAGCCUGUGAUGGAUGGCCUCAGAGACUGAAGGAUUUUCCUUAAUGAUUUGUACAUGUCCCUCGGGUACCUGUUUACAUUAGAGAUGAGGGUCCUCGGUGGGAAAGCUGCACCAAACACAAGAGCCUGGUUCCUUCACCUGCUUUCUCCUCUUUGGCCGAACUCAGCACGUUUACCUUUCUCUAGGAGUUGGGGGCAGAUGGAGUUUGUAUGUAAGGUGGAUUUGGAUGCCUGUCAGCCCUCUUGACUACAUGUUUACGACAUAUUCCCAAAGCUCAAAGACCUGUCCCUCAGUAGGUUUUGGAAAAUGAGAAGUUUGUCCUUAAUACUCUCUGGAGGAAUGUAAGGAAUUUUAUGAAUGGGGGAGACAGAAAAAACCUCUUGGUGUCUGACCUGCUUUCCUUUUUCUAGAGCAUUCGCCAACUUCCAACAUGCUGUGCACAGUCCACAUGUACCCAUAUGCAUGUUGUAUGUACUGCCUGUUGCCUGUGCUCACAAGAAUGUCAGCUUCUUGAGGAUAAGCAUGCUGGGUUAUUGCGUUUGAGUCCUGGGUACAUACAGCAAUUACUGGCUUAUAUUAGAUGCUUACUCUGUAAAUUAGACAUUAUUAAAAAAGAAUCACAUAAAAGGUUCAGAAGAAAUGAUACUUUUCACAUAUCACUUAUAGAAUUCGCAGUGUGUGUAUGUGUUUGUGUGUGCAUGUGCAUGCAUAGAUAUGUUCAUGUGGGUGUGUGGGUAUGAGUGUAUGUGGAAGCAAGACUAUCUCCAGCUGGUGAGUGGUAGUGGUGGUGCACACCUUUGAUCCCAGCACUUGGGAGGCAAAGGAAGGCAGAUCUCUGAGUUAGAGGCCAGCCUGGUUUUCAGAGUGAGUUCUAGGACAGCCAGGGCUACAUAGAGAAACCCUAUCUUGAACACCAAAACCAAUAACAACAGUACUCUUCCUUGGUUACCGACUUCCUCUUUUUUAAGAUCCUGUCUCUCACUGACCCCAGAUGAGUUCCCAAGGUCCUGCCUGUCUCUAUUCCCAAACCCAAGCACUGGCUAACAGAUGCGUAGGUUUUUUCAUAAGUGCUUAGGAUUCAUCUUCAUGCUCCGGUGCCUGUCACUGACUUACCAACUUAGUCACUUCCCCAGCAGCUGUGCUGUGUCUUUGGAAGAUAGAAGCAUUGUCAAGUGGAUCACAAUAGUGAGAGUGACAACGGCCAUGGGAAUGACAAUGUGCAGCUGAGAAGAGGCUUCGGUACCAACCAUGGUGGCUUUCAGUAGAAGCUUAGUUGAACUUCAUGAGUGCUCACACGCAGGCUCCCAGCUGAAAGAAAACUGACCAUGGAGCUGAGAGGGGAACCUGAUGAGCUCAUCUGGCCUCUUCCCGUCUGUGUUCUUUCACUAUCAUAGGAAACUGUAUCUGUUGGAGAACUCCAGAGUGUCUGAAGGAGUCAGAUUUUCCAGGAUGCUCUGGGCGAGUGAACCCACUGGCAAAUAAGCCAAUGCUACUUU
Molecule: long non-coding RNA, 3113 nt
Filed under: Mus pahari (shrew mouse)
Lineage: Eukaryota; Metazoa; Chordata; Mammalia; Rodentia; Muridae
Description: lncRNA (MGP_PahariEiJ_G0004532.1)
Source: RNAcentral